This 488-nucleotide ribosomal RNA is filed under the name Heterosigma akashiwo. RNAcentral describes it as "partial Bacterial small subunit ribosomal RNA". It matches the Rfam family "Bacterial small subunit ribosomal RNA", at positions 327 to 807 of the family's 1533-position model. Lineage: Eukaryota; Raphidophyceae; Chattonellales; Chattonellaceae. The record is from RNAcentral.
CGGCCCAGACUCCUACGGGAGGCAGCAGUGGGGAAUUUUGGACAAUGGGCGCAAGCCUGAUCCAGCAAUGCCGCGUGAGUGAAGAAGGCCUUCGGGUUGUAAAGCUCUUUUGUCAGGGAAGAAACGGUAGAGGCUAAUAUCCUUUGCUAAUGACGGUACCUGAAGAAUAAGCACCGGCUAACUACGUGCCAGCAGCCGCGGUAAUACGUAGGGUGCAAGCGUUGUCCGGAAUUAUUGGGCGUAAAGAGCUCGUAGGCGGUUUGUCGCGUCUGCUGUGAAAUCCCGAGGCUCAACCUCGGGCUUGCAGUGGGUACGGGCAGACUAGAGUGCGGUAGGGGAGAUUGGAAUUCCUGGUGUAGCGGUGGAAUGCGCAGAUAUCAGGAGGAACACCGAUGGCGAAGGCAGGUCUCUGGGCUGUAACUGACGCUGAGAAGCGAAAGCAUGGGGAGCGAACAGGAUUAGAUACCCUGGUAGUCCACGCCGUAAAC